CGUGUAGGCGGCCGAUCAAGUCUGAUGUGAAAGCCCGGGGCUCAACCUCGGAAGUGCAUUGGAAACGGGUCGGCUUGAGUACCGGAGAGGAAGGGGGAAUUCCCGGUGUAGCGGUGAAAUGCGUAGAUAUCGGGAGGAAUACCGGUGGCGAAGGCGCCCUUCUGGACGGAUACUGACGCUGAGACGCGAAAGCGUGGGGAGCAAACA
RNAcentral lists this ribosomal RNA (207 nucleotides) under uncultured bacterium. RNAcentral describes it as "partial 16S ribosomal RNA". It matches the Rfam family "Bacterial small subunit ribosomal RNA", at positions 568 to 774 of the family's 1533-position model. The record is from RNAcentral.